GCGGAGGAAAAGAAACCAACAGGGAUUGCCUCAGUAACGGCGAGUGAAGCGGCAAAAGCUCAAAUUUUAAAGCUGACAUCUUCGGUGUCCGCGUUGUAAUUUUGUGAGGCAUCUCCGGGUAGGGCGCCGGCCUAAGUUCCUUGGAACAGGACGUCACAGAGGGUGAGAAUCCCGUGCUUGGCUGGCUGUCCCCGUCCAUGUGAGGUGUCUUCGACGAGUCGAGUUGUUUGGGAAUGCAGCUCAAAAUGGGUGGUAAAUUUCAUCUAAAGCUAAAUAUUGGUGGGAGACCGAUAGCGCACAAGUAGAGUGAUCGAAAGAUGAAAAGCACUUUGAAAAUAGAGUUAAAAAGUACGUGAAAUUGUUGAAAGGGAAGCGCUUGAGAUCAGACUUCGGUAAGGGGUGAUCAGCCGUCCUUCUGGGCGGUGCACUUGCCCCCCUCCGGGCCAGCAUCGGUUGAGGCGGCGGGAUAAAGGUCCCGGGAAUGUGGCUCCUUCACGGGAGUGUUAUAGCCCGGGUGAAUGCCGCCAGCUUCGACCGAGGACCGCACCCGCAAGGGUUAGGAUGCUUGGCAUAAUGGUCUUCAGCGACCCGUCU
Molecule: ribosomal RNA, 594 nt
Filed under: Morchella sp. Mel-13
Lineage: Eukaryota; Fungi; Ascomycota; Pezizomycetes; Pezizales; Morchellaceae
Description: eukaryotic LSU rRNA
Rfam family: Eukaryotic large subunit ribosomal RNA
Source: RNAcentral